AUGUAAUGUAAUGCCUACAAUGUUAAUGCACCAGAUCCCAUUAGAACUCCAUAGUUAAGCACACUUGGGCUAGCGUAGUAUUAGGAUGGGUGACCUCCCGGGAAGUCCUAGUGUUUUACAUG
Molecule: non-coding RNA, 122 nt
Organism: Picea glauca (white spruce)
Lineage: Eukaryota; Viridiplantae; Streptophyta; Pinopsida; Pinales; Pinaceae
Source: Rfam